ACGGGGUCUGGAGCCUUCAGACGCUCUGCUGGGUCUCCUCAGUGUUGGACAAAGACAAGAAGAAGAAGAAGGUUUGUGCUGCUGUGAGAGGAGCCCUGAGAUCUGGACUGGACCAGGUGAGUCGCUCUGGGCCCAGAACCAGGAGCUUCCAGCUUUAACCCUGAUCCAGCCCAGGGCAGCUGUGGCUCAUCGGCGUGUAACUCUUGUGUUAUAAAGUGCCUUGGGGGGUUAGGCUGGAUAAAAACUGCUUAUUUGAUGUUUAAUGACAUUCAUUUUUAACUGAAGCUUUUAAAACAAACUUUUUCCCGAACGAGUUUUUUAAACAAACAGAUUGAAAAGAAUUUAAAAAUCAAUAAAAUAUUUACAUUUACUGACAUCCUCCGGUUACCUGGGUCAUCACCUUCACCUGGUCUCCUUCACCAACAUGGUCUCCUGGACCUGGUCUCCUUCUCUUCCUGGUGUUCUGAGGUAUUCUGCUCCACCAGGAGAAAAGUUUAGUCUCCAUCCAGCUGGAACCUCUCACAUGCCGGAUGAAGGAGCUAUGGUGACCUGCAGCUCCUGAACAGGUCACCUCCACCAUUUUUGCUGUGAAUAGAGUCUGAGGAAGACCAAUGAGUUAAAGUUGCAGUCGUGAACCAUGAGCUGAUCACACAGUCACACUGCAGUCACGUGAAGUUUAAACAUCCCACGUUGUUUUGGUGCUCGCGAAAGUUCUGGAAUCACCCAGUCUGCAGGAGCUCCACAGAAACUGCUGGUCUGAUGGGUCUGCUGCACUUCUGGACUUCAACCAGGCUGCAAAAGUAAAUAAACAACAAUAUUUUCAACAACCUCAGCGGUCACAUGGGACUCGAACGUCAUCAUCGUCUUCUUUUCUGGCUGACUUCUGUGGAGGAACACGGAGAUGUUUGAGUUUAUGACGUUGAGCAGGAU
This is a non-coding RNA of Nothobranchius furzeri (turquoise killifish), 930 nucleotides long. The record is from RefSeq and is a predicted model, not a curated record. NCBI's taxonomy places the organism in Eukaryota, Metazoa, Chordata, Actinopteri, Cyprinodontiformes, Nothobranchiidae.